UGGGUAUUGUGCACUUAGGUUUUGAUCCAGCCGUGUCCCCCCACUUCCAUGUGUUUUUGUUGACGGACCAACUAAAUGGAUUUGGUCUCCCGGGUGUGGACGUCUGUUCAUAUGUCUAUUCAUCGGAAACCGGGAGGUGGGUUCAUAAGGAGAAGAAAUGGUACUGGGAUAUUGAUCUAGUUCGUGUUCACUCAGCUGCAUAUCUUAAUGGUUGUCUGCAUUUUUUCGCCGAAAUCAAUCACAAUACCCUGUGUCUAGCUGCCGACAAGGAGGCGGGAACAAUGAUAUACUCUCAUGUUCCUCCUCUGAAUGAUGGUUUUAUGCAGAAGUCACAGGGCUGCUUGUAUUAUGCUGGUUUUGGAAGAGAUGACAAUGAUGAUAAUGUAGUUCGACUGCUAGUUUAUGUUCUCGAAGACUAUAAUAGUAAAGAAUGGAUACUGAAGCAUAGCAUUGAAAGUUCACAUCUAUGUGGAGGGCGACAUGAUGUAGACAUUGAGGAGGACUUUUGUUGGAUUGCAAUUCAUCCGGAAUGUAACUUGAUCUUCUUCACCUUGGGCUGGGAUAGAACAUUCAUGUGCUAUGAUUCAGGGUGGACACGGUCCGGGCCGGUCCGGUCCCGGUCCGAGCCGCCGUUUGGACCGGACGCCGGCGGUCCGGGCCGGACCGGACCGAGCUGUGCAACGGUCCUGAUUACAGGGACCGGACCGGCUGGCAUGAAGCUCGGUGCGGACCGGCGGUCCUGGCGGUCUUGGUGCCGUCCAAUCACUGCCAUGUGGGCCUAGGAAAUCGGAGUGCUGGUCGGAGUAGCAACACGGUGGCCGGAGCCGGAGAAGAAGCACCUGAUGCACGGUGGCGCGAGAGAAAGGCACGGGAGAGAGAGGGAGCAGCAUGGCGCGAGGCAGAGGCGUGGUGGCGCGAGGGGACGACGGCGAGAGGUAGAGGCGCGGCGGCGCGAGGUUGUGCUAGGAGAGGAAGUCGAGGAAGACCGCGGCGCAGGGGAGGAAGAGGGGCUGCGCAGGGGAGGAAGAGGGACGGCGCGUGCGAGGAAGAGGAGGCAGUGGCAGUUCGCUAGGUCACGCACGCCCCUCUUAUUAGCUUUAUUGGGCUGGGCUCUUCUGAUUAGCUUUAUUGGGCUGGGCCUUCGGUCCUCCGAGCCGGCCGAGCUUUAACCGGACCGGACCGACCGAAUUUCGGUCUCGUUUUCACGGACCGGACCGGCCAUAUUAUCUAGCGAGCCAGGCCCGUACGGUCCGGUCCAUAACGGGCCGCGGUCCAGGCCAGAAGCCCGCUCGUCCCGUCCACCCUGAGCUAUGAUAUGGAUCGCCGGCAACUCAAAGUGAUAUGCAAUCUUGAAAAUUGCGCUCCAGCAUAUCUGCCACAUGUGCCGCUAUAUGAAGAGUUACAAUCGUUGCACAAGUGAUGUCAAUUAUUUGUGCUAUUGCCUAUGGAGCAUCGGGUUUGGUACGUCUGCUGCAUUUGGUUUGGUCUGUGAUUGAAUGUUCUGAUGUUUUCUAUUCUUUUCAGUUUGGAGCAAUGGUGAGAUUCGUUCUGGGGCCAUUGUGGCUGAUUUCUCUCAGAUGGCUUAUUCAAAUGUUCAAUGUACUUUCUGUUGUAUGUACUUAUUUGUUAUACCAAUGGUUCUGGACACCAGAGGAUGUGAUACACUUUGGCUGAUUACAUUGUCACUUCUUUUGGUGCUAUUUACUUGUCUGAUUCAAAUAGCUUAUGCUGUUAGCAUAACAUCAC
This 1746-nucleotide long non-coding RNA is filed under the name Triticum aestivum (bread wheat). RNAcentral's name for it is "long non-coding RNA (TAES_LNC016873)". The record is from RNAcentral. Lineage: Eukaryota; Viridiplantae; Streptophyta; Magnoliopsida; Poales; Poaceae.